Molecule: ribosomal RNA, 700 nt
Filed under: uncultured archaeon
Lineage: Archaea
Description: bacterial SSU rRNA
Rfam family: Archaeal small subunit ribosomal RNA
Source: RNAcentral
GGACAACCUGCCCUCGGGAGGGGGAUAACCCCGGGAAAACUGGGGCUAAACCCCCAUAGGUGAUGGAUACUGGAAUGUUCCAUCACCGAAAGUCCGCAAGGAGCCCGAGGAUGGGUCUGCGGCGGAUUAGGUAGUUGGUGGGGUAACGGCCCACCAAGCCUAAGAUCCGUACGGGCCAUGGGAGUGGGAGCCCGGAGAUGGACCCUGAGACAAGGGUCCAGGCCCUACGGGGCGCAGCAGGCGCGAAACCUCCGCAAUGCGGGAAACCGCGACGGGGUCAGCCGGAGUGCCGAUGCUUGCAUCGGCUGUCGGGGAGCCUAAAAAGCUCCCCAUAGCAAGGGCCGGGCAAGGCCGGUGGCAGCCGCCGCGGUAAUACCGGCGGCCCGAGUGGCGGCCACUAUUAUUGGGCUUAAAGCGUCCGUAGCCGGGUUGGUUAGUCUCCCGGGAAAUCUGGCCGCUUAACGGUCAGAAUUCCGGGAGAUACUGCCAGCCUAGGGACCGGGAGAGGCCGAGGGUAUUCCCGGAGUAGGGGUGAAAUCCUAUAAUCCCGGGAGGACCACCUGUGGCGAAGGCGCUCGGCUGGAACGGGUCCGACGGUGAGGGACGAAGGCCAGGGGAGCAAACCGGAUUAGAUACCCGGGUAGUCCUGGCUGUAAACGAUGCGGACUUUGUGUCGGACAAGCUAUGAGCUUGUCCGGUG